CAGUAGCCGCGGUAAUACGUAGGUGGCAAGCGUUGUCCGGAAUUAUUGGGCGUAAAGGGCUCGCAGGCGGUUUCUUAAGUCUGAUGUGAAAGCCCCCGGCUCAACCGGGGAGGGUCAUUGGAAACUGGGAAACUUGAGUGCAGAAGAGGAGAGUGGAAUUCCACGUGUAGCGGUGAAAUGCGUAGAGAUGUGGAGGAACACCAGUGGCGAAGGCGACUCUCUGGUCUGUAACCGACGCUGAGGAGCGAAAGCGUGGGGAGCGAACAGGAUUAGAUACCCGAGUAGUCCCUGUCUCUUAUAC
Molecule: ribosomal RNA, 301 nt
Filed under: uncultured bacterium
Lineage: Bacteria
Description: partial 16S ribosomal RNA
Rfam family: Bacterial small subunit ribosomal RNA
Source: RNAcentral